This 492-nucleotide ribosomal RNA is filed under the name uncultured bacterium. Its description in RNAcentral is "partial 16S ribosomal RNA". It matches the Rfam family "Bacterial small subunit ribosomal RNA", at positions 29 to 507 of the family's 1533-position model. The record is from RNAcentral.
AGUGAACGCUGGCGGUAGGCCUAACACAUGCAAGUCGAACGGCAGCACAAUAAGAGCUUGCUCUUACGGGUGGCGAGUGGCGGACGGGUGAGGAAUACAUCGGAAUCUACUUUUUCGUGGGGGAUAACGUAGGGAAACUUACGCUAAUACCGCAUACGACCUACGGGUGAAAGCAGGGGAUCUUCGGACCUUGCGCGAUUGAAUGAGCCAAUGUCGGAUUAGCUAGUUGGCGGGGUAAAGGCCCACCAAGGCGACGAUCCGUAGCUGGUCUGAGAGGAUGAUCAGCCACACUGGAACUGAGACACGGUCCAGACUCCUACGGGAGGCAGCAGUGGGGAAUAUUGGACAAUGGGCGCAAGCCUGAUCCAGCCGUACCGCGUGGGUGAAGAAGGCCUUCGGGUUGUAAAGCCCUUUUGUUGGGAAAGAAAAGCAGCAGGUUAAUACCCCGCUGUUCUGACGGUACCCAAAGAAUAAGCACCGGCUAACUUCGUG